Long non-coding RNA from Gadus macrocephalus (Pacific cod), 3847 nucleotides. RefSeq lists it as uncharacterized. Lineage: Eukaryota; Metazoa; Chordata; Actinopteri; Gadiformes; Gadidae. The record is from RefSeq and is a predicted model, not a curated record. The transcript has 2 exons.
UUGUAUAGGCCUAUGCCCUGCAGGGUCAAGACAUCAAAUCUUAUUCUCACUCCAUAUUAAGAUAACAAACAUAUUUCAAUCAAUAAUCUUUAUUCUCUUAAUAGAAACUAGCCCCACCAGUUUCUAACUAAUACACACUAACAUGACACAGCCCCUCGUCUGUCCGAUGGGCUAUGUGCUUACAUUUUAAACCGUGUGUAGUAGGCAUACAGGGUUAUCUUGAAAUACAUAUUUUUUGCUCGUUAACGUAGUUAUAUCUCUGAGAGGACAUGUCAAACGUAAUUUCGGGUUUUCAUGGUGAUGCUUUCGAUCAAUUGUUAAAUAGUCAAGCUAACGCCUUGAAUAAUCCCAGUCCAGUACGCUGUGAUGAUGAAAUAGGAUAUUAUAAGUGCAUGGAAAGGUCAAGGAUGGCAACAGCAAAACUCCCCAAGAAUCCUGAAUGAGCCCUCGAACUGUUGAAAGUAAGGCGACAGCCAAUCAUCGAGGGAGUUCAAGAUCAAGUGAUAAUAGGUAGUCUUUAUGGUAGUCGCUCAUCGCUUGGGCUGAGAUAGGAUCCUGAAUUGUAGCUUUAUCCUUUUCCACCAGCACGCAGAUUCUGGUAUCACUUCCUAUGAGCGAGGAGAAUAAUACAUUUACAAGAAAAACAAGGAGAAAAACUGAUAUAUUUCUAUCAACAGUCCCGACCUCUCCCUCGCCGCUAAACCGAUGUAACAUUAACUUAUAUGUUCCCCUCUCUGGCCAAUAAAACUCAUCACGGUCCAGACGUCCGGUCGUGAGUUGAUUACGCCCUGGAACGAGGUUGAUCAAGCCCUAUGUAAUUACUCGUUUGUUACGCAUCCUAUUCAGAAUUUGGGGAUGGCACAUCAGUAAAAAUAAUUUGAUGACAGCGGCAUUCCCUUUCUGGUAAAGGGCGCAUGUGAGAACCAAUCAAAGCACAUUUUGACUACGGCAUUAUUAAAUAUUGAAAGUCCCUCCAGAUGAUUGGCAGCUGUCGGCGUUACUAAUUAUACCUAACCGACUUCCUCAAAAAAAGUGAAUUGCAGUUUUUUAUAAUGGCUCAAUUAUAUGCAGAGUAGAAGUUAAAGUACUUUGACCUAGUCAUUUGAAGUCAUUGCCAUGUCCACACGGUGGCCAAAUAGCGUGUUCACCAAUGUACACAUAUUCUGCCAUCAGAGUUGCUUGUUGUCCAAUGAGUAGCCCUUUUGAACUCACCAAGUUCCGGUAAACAAACCUUCAUAAGAUCCCUGAUCAAGUCAUGCACUCUUAUGAGUUCAACAUAAGGAGCAAUAAAGGGAUCCAGCUCAUGAUAGUAAAAGGAGAAGGAUGCAAGCACUUCUUCACUGUCACAGUUUCAACACUUUGACGCACAAAUCCUGAACGCCAUCCUGAAACAAGUUUUCUUCCCAUACUUUCAAUAGACCCAUUCAAGACAUUUAAAUUACACCAGCUAUGGUAUCUGCAUCUGGAAGGCCAUGUUUUGAAUGCCAACACAAUAAUAUCCAAGUCUCCGGGUCAAUGUGUGUUAGUAAUAUCAACUCAAGAGCCAAUAUCACCAAGAUAGUAGAUGAUAAAAUAGCAAGAAGGAUGACCAGGACAUGUAGCAAAAGGGAUGUUUAAUGAUGUUUGGACAAUGAGACGUACAUGUCCAUUGCUGAUGAAAUACAAAUACAACUGAAUAAAAUAAAUAUCUGGCGUCAUGAUCCCAGCAUUUCCAUAUCUGAAAUCAAUUGAAAUGUAAAAUCUAAAAAAAAUGGGAGUGCAGUUUUUGUGUUUGCAAACUAGCAUUCGUGGGAGAAGUUUGAGAUGAAAUUAUUUGUUAUUGUAAGAAAAUGUUUAGAUAUAUCCCCACGACUGACAUAACAAUGAGACAAAUCUGCGAAAACACAUUUGAAACAAGGUGUUUCCAAUGUGAAAUAUACUUUUACAUUGCAGUGCGUGUAUUGUGGUUGAGAUAGUAUAGAGAACUGCAGUGAAUUGACAAAUGUGUAAAUAAAAAUAAAAGGUGCUCAAAUGGAGCAGUACUACAGUUUCCUCAUAAAAAGCAAUAAUUGAAUAAACCUUCACUUGAAAAUAACCUUUUGGUGACUUUGAAAUGUCGACAACUGAAUAAAUUACUCUUCAAGCUCUGUGCCACUAUAUGCACACAAGCCGAGCCUCUACAGCACCAUCAGAUUUAAAUAUAGACGCCUGUUGGACACAAGUCAUGGAAAAAAAAAACAUAAUGAAAAAAAACAAAAGUACCAUAGUUGUUCCAUGUCAACAGUGCAUGUCAACAGUGCAUGUCUGGACAGGGAAGGGAAGCUAUGCUGCUAGAAAGGAGACUGAGUGACCAAAUUGUUCUUCUUCAGUUGGAGCAGUAAGGCAGGUAAAGCCCAAUGCGCUCACAUGUUACUGCAGUAAACCAAAACCAUUGGUUCUUCAUGCCUAGUUAUUGUUUGUACAACUUCAGAGUAGUGGUUAUAAUACAUCAAUAUUUGUAUUUUCCUUAAUGGUUUGUGACGUUUAUAUAAGUGCUUACCCUGAGAAUUUUAUCAAUGUUUAAAAACCUCAGUACCAGAAGAAGAGAAAGGGAAGUUUUUAAAAUAAUAAUGCAACCUAACUGAAGAGGUCCCAUCAAACUAAUUAAGAGUGGGCAUGUAAUAUUACACAUAUCCAUAGCUACGUUGAAUGUACAUUUUUCAUUACAUUUUUAUUGCUAAACUAAGUUAGAUUUCCUUUCCAGGAGCAAGUGGAUGCCCAGCCGAGAAGCAUACUACUGCAGUGUGGUGGGAGAGGGAAUGCUAAAGUGGUGAUGGAUUUGGUCCCCUACAUCACAUGGGGAUGCAGUGUCAAAGUAGAAUGAUCAGGGGUACAAAAGAAAGUAAAGUGAAUGGAAAGGUGGCAUCAAAAUUCAGAUGAACAUUAAAAUGCAUCCAUUUACUGCAUUCUCUGGAGUGCACAACACCGACGCCUCAGUCGUUUCUCAUAUCCCGUUAGAAAAGAAAAGGAGAAAAUAUGAAAAAAAAAAAAAAUAAGACUUUGAACGAAAUGACUUGCACAUACACAAGCAGCAUUGUAGUGUGCGUGUUGUGUGCGUGUGUGUGUGAGAAAGUGGAGUGAAUGAUUGCAUCGAGAGCUAAAAUAUGACAGCACAUGUACUCUGUCUAUAAAAAACUACCUGGGUACUCAACACGGACCUCUUUCUAAACAAAUAAUCUGCUGUAGAACAUUUACAAAAUGAACAUGGCAACAACCAGAGAGUGAUCCUCACAACAACAUAUGCUACCGGCGUCCUCUGGUUCCUGGUGGAUGGUGGUGGUUGUCGUCGUUCUUUGUCUACUGCUAAAGAGUAAAGUCGUAUCAUACAGACCUAGUAAGUAAGUUAUUACACGGUGAAGCUUACGCACGACACACACACACACACACACACACACACACCGCGUUGGAUGGGGUGGCAGCUAGGCCUAUUACAAAGAGAGAAUAGGAAGACUUAUGCAGACAGCGAGUACACCUGCGUGUGCGUCCUGAGUGUGUGUGUGGUGUGAGGGGGGCGGGGGGGGCGGGGUUGGGGUGGCGGUAGCUAGGCUCGUAAACCAGGCAGGACUUGCCUACUGAAGACUCGGGUCCAAGGGGGGAGGUUGGAGGGUGGAGGGGGGAGGGUGGAGGUGUCAGCGUAAACUUCUGGUACAACCAAGAGGUUUGUUCAGCUCACAAGGAAAAAGGAAGAACAAAACGAUAAAAAGACGGGAGGGGAGGUUGGAGUCGCUCUCCAAGAUAGAAGUAAGACAGUCUUGAUAUAAUUUUGGGAGAGAAUAAUUAUUAUUAUUAUACGCUCAAUAUUAAUAACAAUAAUAACAUUAGAUUUAAA